UCCCUGGACUAGUGGUUAGGCCAUGGUGCUAUCACCAUCGUGGCCCGGGUUCAAUUCCCAGGUAGAGAA
Molecule: non-coding RNA, 69 nt
Organism: Pangasius djambal
Lineage: Eukaryota; Metazoa; Chordata; Actinopteri; Siluriformes; Pangasiidae
Source: the annotation of a GenBank genome assembly